UGAUUCUUAGUGGCGAACGGGUGAGUAACGCGUAGACAACCUGCCUUCUAGAUGGGGACAACACUGCGAAAGUGGUGCUAAUACCGAAUGUUGCAUUAAGCCUGCAUGGGCUUGAUGCUAAAGGUGGCCUCUAUUUAUAAGCUAUCACUAGAAGAUGGGUCUGCGUCUGAUUAGCUAGUUGGUGAGGUAAUGGCUCACCAAGGCGAUGAUCAGUAGCCGGUCUGAGAGGAUGAACGGCCACACUGGGACUGAGACACGGCCCAGACUCCUACGGGAGGCAGCAGUGGGGAAUCUUCCGCAAUGGACGAAAGUCUGACGGAGCAACGCCGCGUGAGUGAAGAAGGUUUUCGGAUCGUAAAGCUCUGUCUUUGAGGACGAAUGUGUCUAAUGUGAAUAAUGUUAGAUAAUGACGGUACUCGAGGAGGAAGCCACGGCUAACUACGUGCCAGCAGCCGCGGUAAUACGUA
RNAcentral lists this ribosomal RNA (467 nucleotides) under uncultured Clostridium sp. Its description in RNAcentral is "bacterial SSU rRNA". It matches the Rfam family "Bacterial small subunit ribosomal RNA", at positions 86 to 529 of the family's 1533-position model. The record is from RNAcentral. Lineage: Bacteria; Bacillati; Bacillota; Clostridia; Eubacteriales; Clostridiaceae.